CAGUAGCCGCGGUAAUACAGAGGGUGCAAGCGUUAAUCGGAUUUACUGGGCGUAAAGCGUGCGUAGGUGGCUGUUUAAGUCGGAUGUGAAAGCCCUGGGCUUAACCUGGGAACUGCAUUCGAUGCUGGAUAGCUAGAGAUCGGUAGAGGGCAGCGGAAUUCCGGGUGUAGCGGUGAAAUGCGUAGAUAUCCGGAGGAACACCGAUGGCGAAGGCAACUGCCUGGGCCUGAUCUGACACUGAGGCACGAAAGCGCGGGUAGCAAACAGGAUUAGAUACCCCAGUAGUCCCUGUCUCUUAUAC
RNAcentral lists this ribosomal RNA (301 nucleotides) under uncultured bacterium. RNAcentral's name for it is "partial 16S ribosomal RNA". It matches the Rfam family "Bacterial small subunit ribosomal RNA", at positions 509 to 807 of the family's 1533-position model. The record is from RNAcentral.